This 67-nucleotide ribosomal RNA is filed under the name Phyllosticta sp. GDOU201203. Its description in RNAcentral is "partial 28S ribosomal RNA". The record is from RNAcentral. Lineage: Eukaryota; Fungi; Ascomycota; Dothideomycetes; Botryosphaeriales; Phyllostictaceae.
GUUGACCUCGGAUCAGGUAGGGAUACCCGCUGAACUUAAGCAUAUCAAUAAGCCGAGAAGAAAAAAU